RNAcentral lists this ribosomal RNA (440 nucleotides) under uncultured bacterium. RNAcentral's name for it is "bacterial SSU rRNA". It matches the Rfam family "Bacterial small subunit ribosomal RNA", at positions 338 to 769 of the family's 1533-position model. RNAcentral also lists the same sequence under 1 other name. The record is from RNAcentral.
CCUACGGGAGGCAGCAGUAGGGAAUCUUCCGCAAUGGACGAAAGUCUGACGGAGCAACGCCGCGUGAGUGAUGAAGGCUUUCGGGUCGUAAAACUCUGUUGUUAGGGAAGAACAAGUGCUAGUUGAAUAAGCUGGCACCUUGACGGUACCUAACCAGAAAGCCACGGCUAACUACGUGCCAGCAGCCGCGGUAAUACGUAGGUGGCAAGCGUUAUCCGGAAUUAUUGGGCGUAAAGCGCGCGCAGGUGGUUUCUUAAGUCUGAUGUGAAAGCCCACGGCUCAACCGUGGAGGGUCAUUGGAAACUGGGAGACUUGAGUGCAGAAGAGGAAAGUGGAAUUCCAUGUGUAGCGGUGAAAUGCGUAGAGAUAUGGAGGAACACCAGUGGCGAAGGCGACUUUCUGGUCUGUAACUGACACUGAGGCGCGAAAGCGUGGGGAGC